GAUGAACGCUGGCGGCGUGCCUAAUGCAUGCAAGUCGAGCGAACGGACGAGAAGCUUGCUUCUCUGAUGUUAGCGGCGGACGGGUGAGUAACACGUGGAUAAUCUACCUAUAAGACUGGGAUAACUUCGGGAAACCGGAGCUAAUACCGGAUAAUAUUUUGAACCGCAUGGUUCAAAAGUGAAAGACGGUCUUGCUGUCACUUAUAGAUGGAUCCGCGCUGCAUUAGCUAGUUGGUAAGGUAACGGCUUACCAAGGCAACGAUGCAUAGCCGACCUGAGAGGGUGAUCGGCCACACUGGAACUGAGACACGGUCCAGACUCCUACGGGAGGCAGCAGUAGGGAAUCUUCCGCAAUGGGCGAAAGCCUGACGGAGCAACGCCGCGUGAGUGAUGAAGGUCUUCGGAUCGUAAAACUCUGUUAUUAGGGAAGAACAUAUGUGUAAGUAACUGUGCACAUCUUGACGGUACCUAAUCAGAAAGCCACGGCUAACUACGUG
This 497-nucleotide ribosomal RNA is filed under the name uncultured bacterium. Its description in RNAcentral is "partial 16S ribosomal RNA". It matches the Rfam family "Bacterial small subunit ribosomal RNA", at positions 28 to 507 of the family's 1533-position model. The record is from RNAcentral.